GACGAUUCCUACGGGAGGCAGCAGUAGGGAAUCUUCCGCAAUGGACGAAAGUCUGACGGAGCAACGCCGCGUGAGUGAUGAAGGCUUUCGGGUCGUAAAACUCUGUUGUUAGGGAAGAACAAGUGCUAGUUGAAUAAGCUGGCACCUUGACGGUACCUAACCAGAAAGCCACGGCUAACUACGUGCCAGCAGCCGCGGUAAU
This 202-nucleotide ribosomal RNA is filed under the name Bacillus sp. enrichment culture DGGE gel band gz-5d-7. RNAcentral's name for it is "partial 16S ribosomal RNA". It matches the Rfam family "Bacterial small subunit ribosomal RNA", at positions 331 to 524 of the family's 1533-position model. Lineage: Bacteria; Bacillati; Bacillota; Bacilli; Caryophanales; Bacillaceae. The record is from RNAcentral. RNAcentral also lists the same sequence under 2 other names.